UACAGAGGGUGCGAGCGUUAAUCGGAAUUACUGGGCGUAAAGCGUGCGUAGACGGUUAUUUAAGUCGGGUGUGAAAGCCCCGGGCUCAACCUGGGAAUUGCAUUCGAGACUGAAUAGCUAGGGUACGGUAGAGGGAAGUGGAAUUUCCGGUGUAGAGGUGAAAUUCGUAGAUAUCGGGUAGAACACCAGUGGCGAAGGCGGCUCUCUGGACGGUAACUGACGCUGAGACGCGAAAGCGUGGGGAGCAAACAGG
RNAcentral lists this ribosomal RNA (253 nucleotides) under uncultured bacterium. RNAcentral's name for it is "partial 16S ribosomal RNA". It matches the Rfam family "Bacterial small subunit ribosomal RNA", at positions 524 to 776 of the family's 1533-position model. The record is from RNAcentral.